UACGGAGGGUGCGAGCGUUGUUCGGAAUUAUUGGGCGUAAAGCGCACGUAGGCGGCCUGGUAAGUCUCACUGUGAAAGCCCGGGGCUCAACCCCGGGAGGCCAGGGGAUACUGCAAGGCUGGAGACAGGUAGAGGCUGGUAGAAUUCCGGGUGUAGCGGUGGAAUGCGUAGAGAUCCGGAGGAAUACCUGAGGCGAAGGCGGCCAGCUGGGCCUGAUCUGACGCUGAGGUGCGAAAGCGUGGGGAGCGAA
RNAcentral lists this ribosomal RNA (250 nucleotides) under uncultured bacterium. Its description in RNAcentral is "partial 16S ribosomal RNA". It matches the Rfam family "Bacterial small subunit ribosomal RNA", at positions 524 to 772 of the family's 1533-position model. The record is from RNAcentral.